AACGAACGCUGGCGGCAGGCCUAAUACAUGCAAGUCGAACGGAUGUAGCAAUACAUUAGUGGCGCACGGGUGCCUAACGCGUGGGAACAUACCCUUGAGUAAGGAAUAAUGUCUGGAAACGGACACUAAUACCUUAUAAUGACUUCGGUCCAAAGAUUUAUCGCUCAAGGAUUGGCCCGCGUCUGAUUAGCUAGUUGGUGAGGUAACGGCUCACCAAGGCGACGAUCAGUAGCUGGUCUGAGAGGAUGAUCAGCCACACUGGGACUGAGACACGGCCCAGACUCCUGCGGGAGGCGGCAGUAAGGAAUAUUGGAAAAUGGGGGAAACCCUGAUCCAGCCAUGCCGCGUGAGUGAAGAAGGCCUUAGGGUUGUAAAGCUCUUUCAAUAGUGAAGAUAAUGACGGUAGCUAUAGAAGAAGCCCCGGCUAAAUUCGUGCCAGCAGCCGCAGUAA
This 451-nucleotide ribosomal RNA is filed under the name uncultured bacterium. RNAcentral describes it as "partial 16S ribosomal RNA". It matches the Rfam family "Bacterial small subunit ribosomal RNA", at positions 29 to 523 of the family's 1533-position model. The record is from RNAcentral.